AGUGAACGCUGGCGGUAGGCCUAACACAUGCAAGUCGAACGGCAGCACAGUAAGAGCUUGCUCUUACGGGUGGCGAGUGGCGGACGGGUGAGGAAUACAUCGGAAUCUACUUUUUCGUGGGGGAUAACGUAGGGAAGCUUACGCUAAUACCGCAUACGACCUACGGGUGAAAGCAGGGGAUCUUCGGACCUUGCGCGAUUGAAUGAGCCGAUGUCGGAUUAGCUAGUUGGCGGGGUAAAGGCCCACCAAGGCGACGAUCCGUAGCUGGUCUGAGAGGAUGAUCAGCCACACUGGAACUGAGACACGGUCCAGACUCCUACGGGAGGCAGCAGUGGGGAACAUUGGACAAUGGGCGCAAGCCUGAUCCAGCCAUACCGCGUGGGUGAAGAAGGCCUUCGGGUUGUAAAGCCCUUUUGUUGGGAAAGAAAAGCAGCAGGUUAAUACCCCGCUGUUCUGACGGUACCCAAAGAAUAAGCACCGGCUAACUUCGUG
RNAcentral lists this ribosomal RNA (492 nucleotides) under uncultured bacterium. Its description in RNAcentral is "partial 16S ribosomal RNA". It matches the Rfam family "Bacterial small subunit ribosomal RNA", at positions 29 to 507 of the family's 1533-position model. The record is from RNAcentral.